AGAAAAAUGACGGCGAAUGAUGUGGCCAGUCUACAAGUUUCUUUACCUCAAAUGUUAGAUUUAGCAUUGGGGACUCCAGAAGUAAACAGAAUUAUUUUCUUUUCCUUUAUAUAUGCAAAAUAAUUAUUCAUGAAAUGAGAGAUAAGAAUUACUUUAACGACAGGUACGUCGUUUUACGUUCGCGUUUAGGUUGGAGCAGUAAAUUUAAAUAUCCUUCAUAACUUCCUUCACAUUCUACUACAUCACAUAAAUUUAAAAUCGACUAAGGUUGAGUAUCGUGGUGACGAUGCUAAACGAAUCAAGACAUUGGUAAGUUCUCUAAAAGAGGGUCCUUCGCUUUAUCUUCAAGAAUACAGUAUUAUCGAUGACAAGGAUGUAGAGAAAAAACGAGUUCAUCCCGAUGAAGGUAUAAGAGUGGAUGUGAUUGAAGAUGAGCGAUCUUCAGCAACAGUUUCAAGCACUGGAAGAAUUAGCGAAGACACCAGAACUUAUCGAGCGUUUAAAAGGCAAGAUCACGGAUCCCUUGACCGAUGUUUGGCAAAUUAUUAACAUCACCAAAAGAUUAGAUGCUAGUGAACAAGGUAUUGAUAAGUUAACGAAAAUGGUACAAGAUGUGAUGAAAGGUGACAUAAGCCUAGCGACAACCGAGAUAUCAAAGUUGGAAGAAAAGAUAACGCAUUUGGAAAACUCUUUAAACAAUUUGGAAAAUGUCGUUAAGAAUUUGCAUGUGAUCGCAAGCGAAUAUGGCGCAGAGAUGGAACAAGAAGUCGAAAAAGAGAUAAUAGAAGGUGCAGAGGAACCUCAUCCACCAGCGGCUCAACGAAUUUCGUUAAGCGAGCUCUUGGGUGGAAUAGAUAUAAAAGAGAUGCACAAAGACGUGGCUACGUUGCAGGAGGAGGUUAAUCAAAUAAAGAAUGAUUUGAAGAAUUUAGAGAACGAGUUCGGCCAGGCAAAAGAUGAAUUCGUCACUAAACUAGAUCAAAAACAUCAAACAAUACAAACACUAAAGGAGCAGCUCGAAGAAGUAGCGCAAGAAGCUAAGAAGAAAAUAGAGGUUGUAACUGAAAUAAAAGAAGUAGAAAAAGAAGAGCCUAAAGAAAUACCUAAAGAAAUACCUAAGGAAGUGCCUAAAGAAACACCUAGGGAAACUCCUACAGAUUCGCCAAAACCAAUGAAAGAGGAAAAAGGGGUAAAUUCGGAGGAAUUGGAGACCGUGAAAGGUCGAAUCUCAAAAUUAGAAAAGGAUGUGAUGAAUUUGCACGAGAAAGUAGAGACUACACACAUAAUCGAUGCUGCCAAUCUCGAGAACAUGGCGUCCAAAGUUCAGGAAAUGCAAGGUGAUGUGGAGAAAUUGACCCAGAUUACAGAUAAUCUGAUCGAUGAACGCGAAACUCGCGAGAUGCAUUUCAGCGCGUUACUAGAGCAAGUAGAACUUUUGAAAACGAUUAAAGCUGACAGAGAAGAUCUGGAGGAGGCGCUUGCCGAGAAAGCUGAUGCCCAGGCGAUACACAGAAAGGUGUCUUACGACCAAUUCGAUGCGGCUUGCGAUGAUCUCGCUCAUGGUCUCGAAGACGCGAUCAAUAAAUUAGGGCAACAGGAAAUGAUCUUGCAACAAGCUCUAGACGAAGUGCAAAAGGAGAUCGAGGGUAAAGUAGACAAGAUCGAGAUAUCUCCGUUGAAAGAGUUCGUGAACCAGCGACUGAAGGUGCUCCAAGAUAAGCUGAAGAAGGUGGCGGAAGCGAGAGAGGAAAUCGAGGCUGCUGGAACGAAGAAGUUGCUCAGGGACGUUCAAUGCAUAUCCUGUGACAAGGAUGUGGUCAUGAGGAUGGAUGGCGUUCCCAGAUUUAAAGUGGAAACAUUACCAUGCACCACAAGCAUGAAGCCAUAUCUGACCUACGAGUUGGAUCAAGUUAGAAAACAGCACAGGAAAUUGCCCCAUAGCAGAAAUAUGAUUCAAUUCGAGGCAGCUAUUCAAGAGGAGGCAAAGAAACAGAGGAGUGCGAGAGCAGAGGCACUUGUAAAGACUCCUAGAGAUCAUCUGUGCAAUCGAUACUGCGGCGGUAGUCACACGAUUACGACUCCACAGCAGAGAGUAAUGCGAGUGGGCCAUUUCCUCACUCAGUGGGGACCGGAAAUAAUUCAGCUGACGGAAGGGAUGAUAAAGGGAACGGAUGGUAGAAUGUACAAAAGUCGGCGUAUGCCAGAAAAAAUCGACGUUUGCGGGCCUGCAUACUGCGAUUUGCCAUCGGACAGACAGUCUGCGAUUUCCGUGAACUCCUCUAUACCACCGCAUAAACUAACUGCUGAGAAAAUGAUGUCUCCUAACCCAAGUAGAACGAAUAGACAUUUUUAUUCCGUUUCCUUUCAAAACAAUUUUCUUAUUAUGUCUAUUAUAUGUGAAUACGUGUAUUUAAAUAUAAAAUAUUCCGUUGCUGUAUUUUUUUAUUUUCUUAUGUAUAUUAUAACAAUGGAAAAGAGUAGAGAAGUUCGUUCUAAAAAAAAAGAUGAAAAAAAUUCAUCUUUUGAACAAAUUAUAAUAACACUAAUAUAAUUUCGAAAGGGGGAAAACGAAACAUGCCUAUGAAGAGAAGACCUCGGGAAAUGGCCAAAGAAGUGAUAGAAGAGCUUGCAGAAACAACUGCAACAGAGGGGGAAGAUCAGGAGUCUAUUGGUCCAAUCGAUGCAACGAUUUCUGAUCGUAUUAUUCGUUACACGGACGACGAGGACAUCGGGGAACAAGAUUAAAUAAAAAUCUGAAUAAACGUCUAAAUACAUUUUCCACGAAAUGAUUGAUUCAAAAUUUUCUAAUCACCUUAUCGUAAUCUGAAACAAAUUGUGAUCACCUGAAUAAUAUAAGGUAUAGUAUAAUAAAGAUGUAAAAAAUAUAAAAUAUCGAAGAAACCACACGCAUACAUCUAAAUCUGUUUAUUAAUUUCUAUAAGAAAGAAAUAUUGAAAUUAUCGAAAUUUGAAAAUGGAAUUAUCGAAAUCCAAGACAUAUAUUUUUACCUUCUCCUUUUCACUCUACUCGCAUAUGAUUUGUAUAAUAAAUAUCAACAAACAAUCGAUAGAUUAGGAAAACAAAAAACUGUUGUUUUAUUAAAUGUUUUAUUAUUAAGAGGGAAUUUCGGAGUACACAAGACUAUCUAGUGAAGUCGAUUUGGAACAUCGGUGGUCUGCUAGAAACAAAAAUACCACGCAUCAUGACUACACUAGAUCGCUCUUCGUUUAUUGCACAUCACACACCGUUCGAAAACCGUUUACAUAAAAGGUGUACACAGCGCUUCGAAUAGUCUUUUAUAAUAAUAUUGGACUCGUUCUCCAUUUUCCUCCAUUCGAUCAUUUCCCCAUCUUGACGUUCGAUCACAUCUUCCUACAAACGACUAUGCGCUAGUGUUUCUUGUAAUAAUAAUACAAUAUUUAUGUAUACGUGUAAUGAUGUAUACAUUUGGGGCUAGAUUCUACUUCAUAUAAAUUUCAAGGUACAGGAAGUAUCUACAAGUAUCUACCACAUAAUUUACGACUGUCUUGUUCUUGUGUUUUUUUCUUUUUUUUUUCUUUUUUUUCUUUUUUUCCUCCCCUUUUAUUCAUUUUGGUGAACGGCGUUUUUUUCUUUAAUCUACGUCUGCUAAAUAUACCUAACCUAAUAAUAAUAUUACCAUAGAUUACCUCGCUAUGAUCUUAAAAUCAACGGUAUACACGGAAUCAUGACAGUAAGAUCAUUGGCUUAUAAUGACACAAUGCAAUAAAUAGAAUGCCAAAUAAAUAUACGUACAGAUAGAUUA
Molecule: RNA transcript, 3784 nt
Organism: Apis cerana (Asiatic honeybee)
Lineage: Eukaryota; Metazoa; Arthropoda; Insecta; Hymenoptera; Apidae
Gene name: uveal autoantigen with coiled-coil domains and ankyrin repeats protein
Source: RefSeq, a predicted model, not a curated record